AAUGGAAUAAAAAUGCUUGAAUUAAUAAUAAAGAUCACACGUUACAGAUUUGAUGUUCACGAUCUCGCUCGAAACUGUCACUUCCUCGCGAAGAACGAUCUAAUACAAACUGAUAAUGUGCUUGAAUGAAUAAUACUUAACUACGAUAUUGUUCUCUACUAAAACUACUUCUCCGAGGCUAGGGUUUUACACACGAGAAAUAAAAAUACAUUGACCAAGUCAACCGGGCCUCGACCGCUGCGAAAAUCCGCUAAAAAGCUGUAAAAAUCGGCCCGGGGAACUUCUGCUGGGCGCGGCCGCGCUAAACUAGCGCAGGCGCGCUAGUUGUCCCAGUGGAUAGCGCGGGCGCGCUGUCAAGUAGCGCGGGCGCGCUACUGUCUGUGAUGGCAGCCCCGUUUCUUCGUUUCUCGCUCGUUCUCGCGUGCAUGUCCUUCCUCGCUUCUAGUACCACUUCCGUAGGUGAUCACGGUUGCAUUUAGCAUAUGCAACAAGCCCUUUAAACCCCUAGAUAGCUCUAGUGGACGAGUGUGCUCUCGUGAGGGUUUGUAGAAGAUAUACCCACAAAAUCCCAAG
RNAcentral lists this long non-coding RNA (573 nucleotides) under Daucus carota (carrot). RNAcentral describes it as "long non-coding RNA (DCAR_LNC005092)". The record is from RNAcentral. Lineage: Eukaryota; Viridiplantae; Streptophyta; Magnoliopsida; Apiales; Apiaceae.